GCAAGUCGAGCGGUAACAGAGAGUAGCUUGCUACUUUGCUGCCGAGCGGCGGAUGGGUGAGUAACGCGUAGCAAUCUGCCUAGUAGUGGGGGAUAGCCCAGAGAAAUUUGGAUUAAUACCGCAUACGCCCUACGGGGGAAAGCGGGGGAUCUUCGGACCUCGUGCUAUUAGAUGAGUCUGCGUCGGAUUAGCUUGUUGGUGAGGUAAUGGCUCACCAAGGCGACGAUCCGUAGCUGGUCUGAGAGGAUGAUC
This 252-nucleotide ribosomal RNA is filed under the name uncultured bacterium. RNAcentral's name for it is "partial 16S ribosomal RNA". It matches the Rfam family "Bacterial small subunit ribosomal RNA", at positions 57 to 305 of the family's 1533-position model. The record is from RNAcentral.